Molecule: small RNA, 108 nt
Filed under: Mayetiola destructor (Hessian fly)
Lineage: Eukaryota; Metazoa; Arthropoda; Insecta; Diptera; Cecidomyiidae
Also listed under: 1 other name
Source: RNAcentral
AUCCACUGAGUACAGGGAGUGCUCGGGAUCAUGGAUGACGGGACCAGGCAUGGAAUGCCAGACAGGGAGUCAAAUUGGUCCUCAAAAACCCGCUUCGGCGGGUUUUUU